RNAcentral lists this ribosomal RNA (540 nucleotides) under Ocellularia halei. Its description in RNAcentral is "SSU rRNA". It matches the Rfam family "Bacterial small subunit ribosomal RNA", at positions 573 to 1193 of the family's 1533-position model. Lineage: Eukaryota; Fungi; Ascomycota; Lecanoromycetes; Ostropales; Graphidaceae. The record is from RNAcentral.
AGACAGUUAAUUAAGCAAUUAGAUGUACUAAUUAACUAGAGUUUAAUGUAAGAAGGAUUGAGUACGGUGAGAGUAGNGAUAAAAUUUUUUGAUACCACUUAGGAACUGGUAACAGCGAAGGCUACCUUCAAUGUAAAAAACUGACGUUAAGGGACGAAGGCUUGUAACAAAUAAUAGGAUUAGAUACCCUAGUAUUUUGAGCAGAAAAUGAUGAGUGUCAUAUACAAGAUAAAUCUUUUGUGUAUAAAUGAAAGUGUAAGCACUCCACCUCAAGAGUAACGUGGCAACAUGGGAACUGAAAUCAUUAGACCGUUUCUGAAACUCGUAGUGAAGUAUGUUGUUUAAUUUGAUGGCCCUCAAAUAACCUUACCACAAUUUGUAUAACUAUUGUACGAUAGUUACAAGCGUUGCACGGCUGUCUUCAGUCAAUAUUGUGAAACUUUGGUUAGAUCCAUUUAAUUGACGUAAACCCUUACUUUAAUUAUAUUAAAGUAGUUCGCCGCUAUAUUGGUAGUGAUAUAAGGGACUAGGACAAGUCAU